Molecule: ribosomal RNA, 197 nt
Filed under: uncultured bacterium
Lineage: Bacteria
Description: partial 16S ribosomal RNA
Rfam family: Bacterial small subunit ribosomal RNA
Source: RNAcentral
ACUCCUACGGGAGGCAGCAGUGGGGAAUUUUGGACAAUGGGCGAAAGCCUGAUCCAGCAAUGCCGCGUGCAGGAUGAAGGCCUUCGGGUUGUAAACUGCUUUUGUACGGAACGAAAAAGCUUCUCCUAAUACGAGAGGCCCAUGACGGUACCGUAAGAAUAAGCACCGGCUAACUACGUGCCAGCAGCCGCGGUAAU